UUUGUGGCCAGCCGGUGCGCUAAUACGUAGGUGGCAAGCGUUAUCCGGAAUUAUUGGGCGUAAAGCGCGCGUAGGCGGUUUAUAAGUCUGAUGUGAAAGCUCACGGCUCAACCGUGGAGAGUCAUUGGAAACUGGAAAACUUGAGUGCAGAAGAGGAAAGUGGAAUUUCAUGUGUAGCGGUGAAAUGCGCAGAGAUAUGGAGGAACACCAGUGGCGAAGGCGACUCUCUGGUCUGUAACUGACGCUGAUGUGCGAAAGCGUGGAGAUCAAACAGGAUUAGAUACCCUGGUAGUCCACGCCGUAAACGAUGAGUGCUAAGUGUUAGGGGGUUUCCGCCCCUUAGUGCUGCAGCUAACGCAUUAAGCACUCCUCCUGGGGAGUACGACCGCAAGGUUGAAACUCAAAGGAAUUGACGGGGACCCGCACAAGCGGUGGAGCAUGUGGUUUAAUUAGAAGCAACGCGAAGAACCUUACCAAAUCUUGACAUCCUCUGACCCCUCUAGAGAUAGAGUUUUCCCCUUCGGGGGACAGAGUGACAGGUGGUGCAUGGUUGUCGUCAGCUCGUGUCGUGAGAUGUUGGGUUAAGUCCCGCAACGAGCGCAACCCUUAAGCUUAGUUGCCAUCAUUAAGUUGGGCACUCUAAGUUGACUGCCGGUGACAAACCGGAGGAAGGUGGGGAUGACGUCAAAUCAUCAUGCCCCUUAUGAUUUGGGCUACACACGUGCUACAAUGGACAAUACAAAGGGUAGCGAAACCGCGAGGUCAAGCAAAUCCCAUAAAGUUGUUCUCAGUUCGGAUUGUAGUCUGCAACUCGACUAUAUGAAGCUGGAAUCGCUAGUAAUCGUAGAUCAGCAUGCUAUCGGCUCCC
Molecule: ribosomal RNA, 868 nt
Filed under: Staphylococcus epidermidis
Lineage: Bacteria; Bacillati; Bacillota; Bacilli; Caryophanales; Staphylococcaceae
Description: bacterial SSU rRNA
Rfam family: Bacterial small subunit ribosomal RNA
Source: RNAcentral